This 76-nucleotide transfer RNA is filed under the name Pseudomonadota bacterium. RNAcentral describes it as "tRNA-Ala". It matches the Rfam family "tRNA". Rfam says of the family: Transfer RNA (tRNA) molecules are approximately 80 nucleotides in length. RNAcentral also lists the same sequence under 4 other names. Lineage: Bacteria; Pseudomonadati; Pseudomonadota. The record is from RNAcentral.
GGGGCUGUAGCUCAGUUGGAAGAGCGUCUCGUUCGCAAUGAGAAGGUCGUCGGUUCGAUCCCGAUCAGCUCCACCA